Molecule: ribosomal RNA, 253 nt
Filed under: uncultured bacterium
Lineage: Bacteria
Description: partial 16S ribosomal RNA
Rfam family: Bacterial small subunit ribosomal RNA
Source: RNAcentral
UACAGAGGUCUCAAGCGUUGCUCGGAUUCAUUGGGCUUAAAGGGUGCGUAGGCUGCGCAGAAAGUUGGGUGUGAAAUACCUCGGCUCAACCGAGGAACUGCGCCCAAAACUACUGUGCUCGAGGGAGACAGAGGUGAGCGGAACUUAGGGUGGAGCGGUGAAAUGCGUUGAUAUCCUAAGGAACACCCGUGGCGAAAGCGGCUCACUGGGUCUCUUCUGACGCUGAGGCACGAAAGCUAGGGUAGCGAACGGG